This 461-nucleotide ribosomal RNA is filed under the name uncultured bacterium. RNAcentral describes it as "bacterial SSU rRNA". It matches the Rfam family "Bacterial small subunit ribosomal RNA", at positions 27 to 507 of the family's 1533-position model. The record is from RNAcentral.
GGACGAACGCUGGCGGCGUGCCUAACACAUGCAAGUCGAACGGGGUAUUUCUUCGGAGAUACUUAGUGGCGAACGGGUGAGUAACGCGUGAGAAACCUGCCUUUCAGUGGGGGACAACAGUUGGAAACGACUGCUAAUACCGCAUGACACUGUAGCACCGCAUGGUGCAUCAGUCAAAGCUUUAUGUGCUGAAAGAUGGUCUCGCGUCUGAUUAGCUAGUUGGUGGGGUAACGGCCCACCAAGGCGACGAUCAGUAGCCGGUCUGAGAGGAUGAACGGCCACAUUGGGACUGAGAUACGGCCCAGACUCCUACGGGAGGCAGCAGUCGGGAAUAUUGCGCAAUGGAGGAAACUCUGACGCAGUGACGCCGCGUGCAGGAAGAAGGUUUUCGGAUUGUAAACUGCUUUAGACAGGGAAGAAACAAGACAGUACCUGUAGAAUAAGCUCCGGCUAACUACGUG